UAGCACGAACAGGCUCCUUUGAUCCUUAAGAGACAAACAUGAAGCACUGAAGUUUUGUGGUAUCUGUGAAAGCAGAAUCUUUUGUAUAUUCUCUCUGCAUAUUAGAUGGAAUUACCUAAAUAUCUGCUAGCUGCCAUCUUUGUUGAACUGCUUAGAACAGCACUGUAACAUUUUUAUACCUUACCAUGUUACUUUCCUUUCAUUUGGAGAUAACAUCCUGUAGCUCCUUGCUGUGUCUCAACUCCUCUAAGAACACCAAGCUUUCCAUGACUCUGUGUGCAUGGCUAGACUAUUCCCAUACUGCAUGGCUCUAGCUAUGUGCAUAUACAGUAAAUAGCUUUUGAUUUGCUGUUAUUUUCCCCACCAUUGAUUUAGAUCCACGUAGGGAAUGCCUGCUCACACACAGGGAUUCUGAGCAAGGAUAGAGUCUAAGGACAAUUGUCAGAAUGAUUCACCCAAUACAUAAUUUAGCCAUAACUGUCCUUAAAAACAGCACAGAAGUGCCCUUGAGAAUAUGAUUUUGGAUGCCAGGAAGUUUCACAAGGACUUUUUACCUGUAGCAUCUUGCUCACUGAACCAGAAAAGGAAAAAGCAUAUCUGAAGCUCCAUCACAGCCUAACAGCAAUACCCAUCAGAAGAAUUGAGUACUCACCAUCUUCCUUUCCCUUUGCAAUGGCCCUUUCAGUUUCAGAGAAUUCAGAUUCUUCCACCUCCUUGUCCUUUGCUGCUGGUAGCAAUUCAGGCAACUUAACUUCUAAAGUGGUGUUUGAAGAGGAUGAAAUGAAGAACUAGAAGCACGUUGCUAUGAACUGGACUGUUUUCUUAUCUGAGGAAUAUUGUUAAUGGGAACAGGAAUGGAUUCCAUUUCAUAAGGCUGCACAUUAUUUGUUCCAGAGCCACCCACAAUGUUUAAGUGGAACGUCUUAAGAGUGUUCCACUUGUCUUAAGUCUUUAACUUCAGCAAGAUGAGCUACAGAAAAAUAGUGAAUGCUACAUUGGUGCAAAUGUUGCCAAUGGUUCUUACCCUUCAGCUGAUGAGGACACUGAAGGUUGCAUAAGCUGACCAGCAUUGCUUUCCAGAUGCUCUUGAGAUGCAAUUGGAGUUUCAGUUGUGGACAGCACUUUUGCCUCAUCUGUUAAUAAUGAAGAGGCAAUUAUCUUCUAUGUAUUAACUAUCAGGUAUUGUUGCCAAUAUCAUAAAAACAAUUUAAGUGUAAUAAAACAUAAUGAUGGCAUGUA
Colius striatus (speckled mousebird) is the source of this 1239-nucleotide long non-coding RNA. RefSeq lists it as uncharacterized. NCBI's taxonomy places the organism in Eukaryota, Metazoa, Chordata, Aves, Coliiformes, Coliidae. The record is from RefSeq and is a predicted model, not a curated record. The transcript is spliced from 3 exons.